RNAcentral lists this long non-coding RNA (1137 nucleotides) under Strigops habroptila (Kakapo). Its description in RNAcentral is "lncRNA (ENSSHBG00005015152.1)". Lineage: Eukaryota; Metazoa; Chordata; Aves; Psittaciformes; Psittacidae. The record is from RNAcentral.
UGCAGGACACCCAGGCUUUAUUGCAAACCUGGCACCAGUUGGCAGCUCCAGCUCAGCAGACACAGGCUCUCUGUGCCCCAAACCUUCCCCUCUCCAGUGCAGGGGCUGCCAGGAGAGGCUGAUGCUUCACUGGGGGAGAAGCCCCCAGAGCCGAGCACAUCCUGGUGCAGGGUGGCCGUGAUGGGUGUCACAGCCCCAGCAGGGUGGGGGGUAAAGGGGCAGGAGGGUGUCCCUGUGGCUCUGGGAUUGGUGGGCAGCCCAGUGCCCUGGUACCAGCCACCUCGGAGAGCUGCAGGUUUUCCUGGCCAUGGUUCCUGCGUUGGCUCCUUACCCAGGCAGUCACACACCCCAGGAGCAGCGCCACAGCCACCUUCACGCCAGGGAUGAGCAGCAGGUAGAUGAUGUUGAGCUGGGACCUGGAUAGGAGAAAGGAGAUAGUGCUAAAGCUUGAGUCUGGGCAACGGGGAUGGGGACACUUGCACGUCUGCCCUGCUUGCCCCUGGGAUGCUCCUUGGAGCUGCUGCAACCAACCCAGGGAUGAGGGAUGCAUGCAGGGAAAGAGGUGUCUUAGGCCAGGGGAUGCUGUUGGGGGCUUGCCCGCACCCUGAGCCCUGACUCACAGCACUGGAGGCUCCCCAAAGCCCGUGGUGGCCACUGGGCUCACAUCGCUGCCUUUGGUGGUGGAUGAAUCAGCUGUGAAAGAAAACAGAGUCAGAGCAAAGUGGAGACCCCCCCCUGCACCCAUCCUGCCCCGGGGGCCUCUGCCCUGAGACUUCAGCCACAGAGGUGCAGGAGGUAGAGAGGGGGGUGCCCAGGCAAGGCACUGGGCACCGAGGAGGAGGAGGAUGAGAAAGGAGAGAGGUUACUGGGAGAGACUGGAAACCCCAAAGGGCUUGUGGAAGCAGAAAUGCUGAAAGGAGCAAGCAAGAGGCUCUGCUCUGCAUGAGGCUCUGUAGCCUCCUCUUCCCUCAUCCAAAUCUGCACUGGGGCAGCCUUAUGCUGCACAUGCCUGACCUGUGCACAUGCCUGACCUGUGCUCCCACAUCUCACCUGGCAAAAGGGUCCAAACCAGGAAAAUCCACAUUUUCCACCUUCUUGCUCCUGACGCAGAUUUUCCCCUGUGGUUAUUCACAAAGU